UUUAUAGUAGUCCAUAUAUAAGACCUUUCACUGUUAAUGAAAAAAUGAGUGCUACUCCUAUAGAA
RNAcentral lists this transfer RNA (65 nucleotides) under Nothopuga sp. 1 LP-2008. RNAcentral describes it as "tRNA-Asn". The record is from RNAcentral. Lineage: Eukaryota; Metazoa; Arthropoda; Arachnida; Solifugae; Ammotrechidae.